Molecule: long non-coding RNA, 4000 nt
Filed under: Homo sapiens (human)
Lineage: Eukaryota; Metazoa; Chordata; Mammalia; Primates; Hominidae
Description: non-protein coding MIR34AHG:15
Source: RNAcentral
GAGGAAUGAGUCCCCCGUUCUCACCCCGGGGAGCGGUUGCCUCGUGAGUCCAAGGAGAAUCCGCCCUUUCGUUUUGCGCAGGUGGAGAUCUCGCGGGCCCAGUUCGGAGUCCUGCAAACUAUGCGCCCUGCCUGGCCCCCACCUGGUCCUCUUUCCUUUUCAGGUGGAGGAGAUGCCGCUGUCCCGUCGGUCUGGGGACAGCCCAGCUCCCCGGAUCCCGGGCUGGAGAGACGCGUCGCGGCCCCGGGGCCUGGUGGCACGAGCAGGAAGGAGGACCCGGCGGCGGGCUCUGCCUGGGCUUGCCUGGGCUUGUUCCGAGCCGGGCUGCUUCUCGGUGACCACGCAGAUCGGGGGCAUUUGGAGAUUUUGCGGGAGUCCUGCAGCCAAGCUCCGGGGCAGGAGAGGCCUGGAAGCCUGCACUACCUGCUCGCCCCGUCCCAGCAUGCACCCAGGUAAACGCUUGUGUUUCUCAGUCCGUGCGAAAGUUUGCAAAGAAGGAGGCGGGAACUAGACCAACAACUUUAAUAAUCAUAGUCAUAAUAAUGAAAACCCUGUUCAAUUGUGUAGCCUCCGUAAGGGGAAGAAUUUCCAAGAAGCAACAAAAUGUUCUUUGAUUUCAUAAUCUCUGGGGAGAAAGGAUUCCUUUUUUGGGGUUUUGCUCGGCUAGUUCUUUCUUCCCUCCUCUAUCUCCAGCGUGGGGCGAGGAAGGCCGACUGGUUCAUGGGUGGCAAAUGGGGACGGGACGGCUUUUCAGGCAGAAGGGUUAGUAAGUGCAAAGGCCCUGUGUUUGGUGCAUUGGAGAAAUUGCAAGAAAGCGGGUGAGACUGAAGAUCAACUCGUGAUACUUGGUAAUGAAUAUCACAUGAAAACAAGGAAGUUUUCUUGUCUAGCUCUGAAAUUUGCCUUGGUUGGCAGAUCCUUCCUUCCCAGAGAGCACACAUCAGUACUGCAGCUACAGCUGUCUGUCUGACAUACUUGUAAGAACGAACUGUUUAGUGCAGGCUCUGGGAGGCAGUGCCAUGCGGGUCACUGACAUACAUGGUGCCAAUCAUUUUUCUCCAUUCGUAAGGCACCUCAGGACCCCACUGGGGCCCCAGUGUUCCAGUAAGGAUACGGGUUUUGAGUUAAGGACCCGCCUUCCAGCUCCGUCUCUGUCACUAGCUGUGCUAAUUUGGAAAUAGGACUUCCUUUCCUGGCUUUGGUUCCUCAUCUAUAAAAAUUGCCCUUAUGUUAGGACCUACUUACUGGGACUACAGGUGCACACCUGGAUGAUUUUAAAAUAUUUUUUUAGAGAUGGCCUCUCCCUGUGUUGCCCAAGCUGGUCUCAAACUCCUGGGCUCAAGAGAUCCUCCCACCUCAGCUUCCCAAAGCAUUAGGAUUACAGGUGUGAGCCACCGUGCCUGGUCUGAAUUUCUUGCUUUACAUGUUAGCUGGGAAGUAGAUGCCCUCAAGAAUGGUGGAGCAUAUGAGCUGUCCCUCUAGGUCAGUCCCAUGGCCACCCAGCUCCAGCCCUGUCUCUAGGUGUGUGAAUCCCUUUUGCACAACAGAGAGCCUGGGGAGGUGGAAGGUCUUGGUGACACCUUGUGAGUUAUUCACACUGGCUGUGGGUGACAGAGCCAGAGGUGGGAGCACAGAGCUCUCACAGCACAGAGGAGUAAGGAGUUGAAGCUGCAGAAACAAUGCUGAGGCCUGAGGUGGAGGAAUUGAAUCCAGGAAGCAGAGGUUGCAGUGAGCCGAGACCGUGCCAUUGCACUCCAGCCUGGGCAACAAGAGUGAAACUCCAUCUCAAAACAAAAAAGAGAUUCUCAAUGCAGUGGUAAUUUCCGACAAUCCUAGCAUCUACUCUUCACUUUUCACUGCCCAGACGUCUGAGGUUUCAUCUGCUUAUGCAGACGGUGCCAGCUAAGCCGUGCCUUUUGGGUCCAGGUGACCUCCAAAGCAGGCCUCUCCAACACAUAAAGAUCAUUGGGACAUAGUCACGUGUGAAGGGUCUGUUGUGGGGCCCAAGAGGGAAGAUGAAGCGAGAGAUGCCCAGACCAGUGGGAGACGCCAGGACUUCGGAAGCUCUUCUGCGCCACGGUGGGUGGUGAGGGCGGCUGGGAAAGUGAGCUCCAGGGCCCCAGGAGCAGCCUGCUCGUGGGUGCGGAAGGAAAAAGGCACAGGGGCUUGGUGUGGGCGGCUUUUGGCUGGGAGAAGUUUGCACGUAGGGAGAAUAGUAGCCAGUGUUUGCAGAGCACUUACUAUGCAGGAAGGCCUGUCCUAAGUAUUGUAAGUGUAUUACAUCAUGUACAAGUGUCUGUGAUUAACCCCGUCUUGCAGAGAAGGAAACAAAAGUACAAACAGAAAAUGUAACUAAGCAUGCAAUUAAUAAAAAGGGACCAGGUUUUGAACGCGAGCAAUCUGGCUCAAGAAUCUGCGCCCAACCACCGGCUCCUGUUCUUAGAGAUGAACGUGGAGUCCUGGAGACUGCUCAACAUUGUGACUUGACUGUGAGCGUACGCGCUCCCUGUCCCCAGGAGACAGAUUUCCAGUGCAAUCAUAGAAAGUGCCUGUGUGGGCUUCGGGAGAUGUGUCUGCCUUGGGGAGAAUUUUCCUUUUCAGCUAGAGCCAGGCCCAGGAUGUUGACGUCAGUGAGACGCUGGUGACGUUCUCUGCUCCAGUGGCUGAUGAGAAAAGUUCCUCCAAGCCAGCUCAGUUGAGAAGAAUUAAGUUCUCUGGGUCCCACUGGCUUCACCUACAGAUGCCAACUUUGAGGCCAGUGAACUGUGAGGCCAGCUGGGCUGAUUGCCAUGGCAACAGGAAUUGGACCAAAGUCACCGGAGGAUGGAGAGGGAAGACACAGUGGUGGCUUCCCCAGGUCUUGGACCACAAGGCACAGCCGUGGCCUCCAGGAACCCUGAGAUAACCCGUUAGUGGGUCCUGCACUCCAACAGAGCUCAUGCAAUCAGCCUCUGGUCCUCACCCUCCUCCCAUUGGUGUCGUUGUGCUCUCUAACAUUGACAUUGAGCAGUGAGUGCUCCAGAUCUUGUUCCACUGAUUUUUUCCACUGUUCUCCAGUCUAGCACUUUCUGAAAUUCAUCCAAGCCUAAGAGGUGACGCCAAACGUAAGUGUCUUACACCUCGGACCCCAUGGACUAAGACAAGCCUCUGGGGUCCAUGUGGCACCAAGGAUGGGGCCUUCUAGUACCUUUCACACAGGCCAGGGACAGCACCUGCUGCGACCCCCACCCCCUUGGGGGUUCAAGUGAUUCUCCUGCCUCAGCCUCCCGAGUAGCUGGGAUUACAGGCACCCGCCACCACGCCCAGCUAAUUUUUGUAUUUUUAGUAGAGACGGGGCUUUGCCAUGUUGACCAGGCUGGACUCAAACUCCUGACCUCAGGUGAUCCGCCCACCUCGGCCUCCCAAAGCACUGGGAUUACAGGAAUGAGCCACUGCACUCGGCCUACUUCUGCAUUCCUUAGAGUACAUCCUAGCUAGGAUAUAUUCACUUGUCUUUAGAGCUAACAGCAGAAGAAAGGUACCUAGAUGCUUAUCUAGCUCUUUAUCUUUCUAGAAAUUCUAGAAGAUGAGAGGGGCAGUGGUGGCUCCAAGGGAGUGAUUUUAGGAUGGACUGGGACAGAGAGGGGCUGCUUACACAUACUCACACAGAGGCCAUUAAUUUAGGGAGUUCAAGGUCCAGGAGGUUGACGGCAUCUAGGCCUGUGGCAGAGUGCACUCCUGCUUUGGGGAAUGUAUGGGCAGCUUCUUGCCUGUAGUUGGAGGGUUAGAGAGAGGGAUCAAUAAUUUCAUGGUUGGACUUGAGUUUGGAGCGAGUGGAGUUAGAUACAAAUUCUAUGUUUUUGGAGAAAGUAUUUGAUCUUCUUGGCUGUGAGGCAAAGCGAGGUUUAAAAAUAUUUUUCACUUAAAAAUAUAUAUAUAUGCAUGUAUAUUUAAUACUGUCUAUGGAUUGUGCCAAUAUCUAUUUCAUGGUUUUGAUAUUGUGUAGUUAUACAAGGAGUUA